AUUCCAUUCCGUGAAUUCCACAGCCCCCACCCCUGCCCUCAGCCUCCUUCAAAGUGGCCGCUGGGGCUGGGGUCUGUCUUUGCAGAGGUGCCAGGCCACAUGCCCUGCCCACCUCUACCAGCUAUGCCGCCUCUGAAGUUCCUCCAGCGGCACUGAGGAGGGGCCCUGUGGUCGAGGGUGCAGUUAAACGAGGCCCGACCGGGUAGUUGAGCUCAGCUUGGCUGUACUUGUCUUCCUUGGACCUGCUGGGCACCCCCAGAAUGGGCAACUGAGGUUGAGAGAAAGGAAAUAACUUGUCCCAGGCCAGCAGCUGAGUCACGACCAAGGCACUUCGUUCUUCAUCUAGUGCGGCCUGUGCAGCCAAAAUGCCUUCCCAUGAGCUUGCCACAUAACCAUGGGUGGCUCACUGGACUUUCAUCUGGGCAAAGAGAAGGGUGUGCUGACACUACUCAUGGCUCCUUCAUCUGGGACCUACCCAAAUCCCGUGGCUUUGCUCACAAUCAUCUGAUCCUGUUGUGCCCAAGAUGCCUGCUCCCAUGCCUGGAUACCUGCUGCAGCUGCUCCAAGCCAGGACCCUGCCAAUCUGUCAUUUUAGAUCUUCAGCUCUGGGUUGGUCUUCCAGGUGCCUCUGCCUCCCAAGGAAACCCAAGGAACUCCGCCAGAAAGGGAAUGCCUAAAAGAGCAGCAGUGGGGACUGUAGGGGUCCUCCUGCCUGCCCCUUUGUUAUCCAGAGUGGGGCCCUGACUUGCCUGAAGUCACACAGGGACUCCGGUAUUCCAAUCCUCGGCCUUAAGAUCGCUGCUAUCCGGUUACUUCUAUCUAAAAGCCCUAGAGAAGUUUCGGGAGACACUCAAAGGGCCCUUGUCUGGUUUCCAGGCUGACCAACUCUAAUGGAGAAAAAGCUCACUCACUAAGCAUACAUCAAAUGCCAGGCGUAUAGAAUCCUUCAGUGGAGGGAUCAUUCUCCCCAUUUUACAGAGGAAUAAAGUGAGGCUCAGAGUGAAUGAAA
This 1009-nucleotide long non-coding RNA is filed under the name Homo sapiens (human). RNAcentral's name for it is "HSALNT0363870". Lineage: Eukaryota; Metazoa; Chordata; Mammalia; Primates; Hominidae. The record is from RNAcentral.